CCUACGGGGGGCAGCAGUGAGGAAUAUUGGUCAAUGGACGAGAGUCUGAACCAGCCAAGUAGCGUGAAGGAUGACUGCCCUAUGGGUUGUAAACUUCUUUUAUAAAGGAAUAAAACGAGGCACGUGUGCCUUUUUGCAUGUACUUUAUGAAUAAGGAUCGGCUAACUCCGUGCCAGCAGCCGCGGUAAUUCGGAGGAUCCGAGCGUUAUUCGGAUUUAUUGGGUUUAAAGGGAGCGUAGAUGGGUUGUUAAGUCAGUUGUGAAAGUUUGCGGCUCAACCGUAAAAUUGCAAUUGAUACUGGCAGUCGUGAGUACAGUUGAGGUAAGCGGAAUUCGUGGUGUAGCGGUGAAAUGCUUAGAUAUCACGAAGAACCCCGAUUGCGAAGGCAGCUUACUAAACUGUGACUGACAUUGAUGCUCGAAAGUGUGGGUAUCAAACAGGAUUAGAUACCCGAGUAGUC
Molecule: ribosomal RNA, 460 nt
Filed under: uncultured bacterium
Lineage: Bacteria
Description: partial 16S ribosomal RNA
Rfam family: Bacterial small subunit ribosomal RNA
Source: RNAcentral